Suricata suricatta (meerkat) is the source of this 528-nucleotide non-coding RNA. The record is from the annotation of a RefSeq genome assembly. NCBI's taxonomy places the organism in Eukaryota, Metazoa, Chordata, Mammalia, Carnivora, Herpestidae.
CCCAGGAGUCCCCAUUCUGUGAUCAGGACAGAAUACAGACAUCUCACCAUGGACUUUGUGCUUGGCUGGGUUUUCCUUGUUGCUGUUCUAAAAGGUGUCCAGUGUGAGGUGCAGCUGGUGGAGUCUGGGGGAGGCCUGGCGAAGCCUGGGGGCUCCCUGCGACUCUCCUGUGCAGCCUCUGGAUUUGACUUCAGUAGUUAUGAAAUGAACUGGGUCCGCCGGGCUCCAGAGAAGGGCCUGGAGUGGGUCUCAUAUAUUGGUAGUGGUGGAAGCACAAGCUAUGCAGACUCCGUGAAGGGCCAAUUCACCAUCUCCAGAGACAAUGCCAGGAACACGCUCUCUCUGCAGAUGAACAACCUGAGAGUUGAGGACACGGCCAUGUAUUUCUGUGCGAGAGACACAGUGAGGAGACGUCAGUGUGAGCCUAGACACAAACCUCCCUGCAGAAAGGGAUCAGCACCACCAGGGGGUGCACACUCUACACAAUUCUGGGCUACUACCUCAAGAUACAACCCAAAGCACACGUAG